Small nuclear RNA from Coturnix japonica (Japanese quail), 118 nucleotides. RefSeq annotates it as U5 spliceosomal RNA. The record is from RefSeq and is a predicted model, not a curated record. NCBI's taxonomy places the organism in Eukaryota, Metazoa, Chordata, Aves, Galliformes, Phasianidae.
AUAGUCUGGUUUCUCUUCAGAUCAUAUAAAUUUUUUUGCCUUUUACUAAAGAUCUCCAUGGAGAGGAGUAGCAGAAGUUGUACAAGGUGGAUACAAAGUUUAUAAUAUAAUAAUAUAC